This 253-nucleotide ribosomal RNA is filed under the name uncultured bacterium. Its description in RNAcentral is "partial 16S ribosomal RNA". It matches the Rfam family "Bacterial small subunit ribosomal RNA", at positions 524 to 776 of the family's 1533-position model. The record is from RNAcentral.
UACGUAGGGUGCGAGCGUUGUCCGGAAUUAUUGGGCGUAAAGAGCUCGUAGGCGGUUUGUUGCGUCGGCCGUGAAAACCUGCAGCUUAACUGUGGGCCUGCGGCCGAUACGGGCAGACUUGAGUUCGGUAGGGGAGACUGGAAUUCCUGGUGUAGCGGUGAAAUGCGCAGAUAUCAGGAGGAACACCGGUGGCGAAGGCGGGUCUCUGGGCCGAUACUGACGCUGAGGCGCGAAAGCGUGGGGAGCAAACAAG